This 460-nucleotide ribosomal RNA is filed under the name uncultured bacterium. Its description in RNAcentral is "partial 16S ribosomal RNA". It matches the Rfam family "Bacterial small subunit ribosomal RNA", at positions 338 to 795 of the family's 1533-position model. The record is from RNAcentral.
CCUACGGGAGGCAGCAGUGAGGAAUAUUGGUCAAUGGGCGCGAGCCUGAACCAGCCAAGUAGCGUGAAGGAUGACUGCCCUACGGGUUGUAAACUUCUUUUAUAAAGGAAUAAAGUGAGGCACGUGUGCCUUUAUGUAUGUACUUUAUGAAUGAGGAUCGGCUAACUCCGUGCCAGCAGCCGCGGUAAUACGGAGGAUCCGAGCGUUAUCCGGAUUGCUUGGGUUUAAAGGGAGCGUAGAUGGGUUGUUAAGUCAGUUGUGAAAGUUUGCGGCUCAACCGUAAAAUUGCAACUGAUACUGGCAGUCUUGAGUACAGUUGAGGUAGGCGGAAUUCGUGGUGUAGCGGUGAAAUGCUUAGAUAUCACGAAGAACUCCGAUUGCGAAGGCAGCUUACUAAACUGCCACUGACAUUGAUGCUCGAAAGUGUGGGUAUCAAACAGGAUUAGAUACCCGAGUAGUC